Manis pentadactyla (Chinese pangolin) is the source of this 852-nucleotide long non-coding RNA. RefSeq lists it as uncharacterized. Lineage: Eukaryota; Metazoa; Chordata; Mammalia; Pholidota; Manidae. The record is from RefSeq and is a predicted model, not a curated record. The transcript is spliced from 5 exons.
UUCCUUUCGCUCCUGGUAAUCCUUGGUUUAGUGUAACUUGUGGCACCGCUUACCAUGGCUCUCACUCAGGUUACAUGAAGGAAACAGCCACCCUGCUAGAGUCUGGUGCCCAUCUCAGGAAGCGUGCCAGUUCCCAGGGCCAUGAGGGGUGAGGGAGAACACGAAUGUCUCAGAGAACAAAAGAGCAACAGGAAGAAACUAGCCUCCAAAUGGCAGGGGAGAAGACAUCCAGGUUUAUUUGUCCAACACAAGCAGCUCCAGUGGAAGCUCAAGCCAAAGAAUCAGACUUUAAUUGCAUCUAUACAUAGCCCAUGAAUCAAACUUCAGGAUGGCUCCCCUGAAUACAUAUGCACAAAGGAGAAGCAGGAAGAAUUGGGGAGGAGGCACCCUGGACCUGAAGCUGACUGCCCUCUUGCAGUACACCAUCAAAGGGGAGGAGCUGAUGACAAGAAAUGAAAUUGAAAUGUGACCUGGAUACAGGUGACUGAAGAGUCUUCGUUUAAGGGGACAGAGUACAUUUUUGUGGUACUUGUCCCAGGCCUCCUCUGGACGUCAGCCGUGAUUUUGCUUUAUCUCCAUGAAGGUAUUGGAAGCUCUUAGCCCAGAAGCAUGUUGGCUGCCACUAGCUGAGAAGUAAUUCUCCCUCUCUGAAUGGCUGAAGGGGGAGACUCUAAUGUGGGAAAAAGGGGAAAAUGUUCACUUCUUCAUCUCUGAAAAUAAAAUUUGCUGGUGCUGCUCUGAAUGUACAGAGGAUAAUCUGUCACUGAUUAUAAAAACAAAUCUUCCUUUCUGCAUUUAAAAUAAAAUAUAUGUGUCUGCAAUUUCUUCCAUCUGGUUAUCUGUAAUUUCUAA